UACAGAGGUCCCAAGCGUUGUUCGGAUUCAUUGGGCGUAAAGGGUGCGUAGGCGGCGCGGUAAGUCGGGUGUGAAAUCUCGGAGCUUAACUCCGAAACUGCAUUCGAUACUGCCGUGCUUGAGGACUGGAGAGGAGACUGGAAUUUACGGUGUAGCAGUGAAAUGCGUAGAUAUCGUAAGGAACACCGGUGGCGAAGGCGGGUCUCUGGGCAGUAACUGACGCUGAGGAGCGAAAGCGUGGUGAGCGAACAGG
RNAcentral lists this ribosomal RNA (253 nucleotides) under uncultured bacterium. RNAcentral describes it as "partial 16S ribosomal RNA". It matches the Rfam family "Bacterial small subunit ribosomal RNA", at positions 524 to 776 of the family's 1533-position model. The record is from RNAcentral.